This 497-nucleotide ribosomal RNA is filed under the name uncultured bacterium. RNAcentral describes it as "partial 16S ribosomal RNA". It matches the Rfam family "Bacterial small subunit ribosomal RNA", at positions 36 to 507 of the family's 1533-position model. The record is from RNAcentral.
UCUUCCCUCUUUCUUCGUGCCUAAUACAUGCAAGUCGAGCGAACAGACGAGGAGCUUGCUCCUCUGACGUUAGCGGCGGACGGGUGAGUAACACGUGGAUAACCUACCUAUAAGACUGGGAUAACUUCGGGAAACCGGAGCUAAUACCGGAUAAUAUAUUGAACCGCAUGGUUCAAUAGUGAAAGACGGUUUUGCUGUCACUUAUAGAUGGAUCCGCGCCGCAUUAGCUAGUUGGUAAGGUAACGGCUUACCAAGGCAACGAUGCGUAGCCGACCUGAGAGGGUGAUCGGCCACACUGGAACUGAGACACGGUCCAGACUCCUACGGGAGGCAGCAGUAGGGAAUCUUCCGCAAUGGGCGAAAGCCUGACGGAGCAACGCCGCGCGAGUGAUGAAGGUCUUCGGAUCGUAAAACCCUGUUAUUAGGGAAGAACAAAUGUGUAAGUAACUAUGCACGUCUUGACGGUACCUAAUCAGAAAGCCACGGCUAACUACGUG